Molecule: non-coding RNA, 45 nt
Organism: Schistosoma haematobium
Lineage: Eukaryota; Metazoa; Platyhelminthes; Trematoda; Strigeidida; Schistosomatidae
Source: Rfam
AUCCAGCUGAUGAGUCCCAAAUGGAACGCAACACACGUCCAGGAU